Arachis duranensis is the source of this 5121-nucleotide long non-coding RNA. RefSeq lists it as uncharacterized. The transcript has 3 exons. NCBI's taxonomy places the organism in Eukaryota, Viridiplantae, Streptophyta, Magnoliopsida, Fabales, Fabaceae. The record is from RefSeq and is a predicted model, not a curated record.
AAUUUCCCAAAUCCCAGAAACCCUAACCCUAAUUUCUUAUCCCAGCCACCAAACCCCCUCCAACGUAAUACAUGCUUCAGAAACAGAACAUCAGAGAGGGAGAGUGAGGAGUUAGGGGUGAACCAGGGGAAGGGAAAUCGGAGAAGAGGGAGCCGUGCCUAACCACCGUCCGCUCUGCCGCGCCUCUCGUCACCAUCAGGUCCGUCGUCGCCGUUCGUGGAGCCACGAGGAGCACCGCCGUCGAAGCCACGCCAAUCGUCACUGCCCAGUCGUCGCUCUGCCUCCCACCAAGCCCGUUCCGCCGCUAACGUCGCCGAAGGGAGAGCGACCACCACGAGGAGCCACCGCCGUCCUCUCUCGUCGUCUUCCUUGGAGCCGUCACCGUCGAGGGGCCAGCAGAGGGAGAGAAAACGAAUGCGAGAGUCAAGGUCACCACCGAGGAGAGGAGCUGUGUUCCACGCUGCUGUCGCCACCAGUCCACGGCCACCACUGCGAGGGUUCCGCCGUCGUUGUUCCAGUGUCGCCAUUCAUGCCCUCCGUUCCCUUCGUCGUUCUAUCCAGCAUCACCAGCACUGAAGUCAGCUUCUACCACCAUCAAGCCUGAAGGGAAGCGCCACUGCUAUUGCCCGACAGUAGUUUCCCCUUUGUUCCCAAUUCCAUUCCUGAAACUUAUUAUCGUCCUUAUCCGGAACCACUGAUGUCACCGCUAUAGAGAUGAUUGGGAUAGGCGCGAUUGUCAUUGUUGUUGCUGCCCCAGAAGAAGUGAGGCUGCUGCUGCUGUUCCGGCCGCAUUGGCUGUUGUAAACUGGGAAAAAGAAAGGGAUCGUUGCGUUUAAAUUCGACGGUUUCGACUAAUUGAGGUAGGGGAUUUAACGUUUUUAAUUUAGAAUGCCUACCAAGUUAUUGGAUAAGUGCAAAUGGUUAAUAAUAUUUAAGAAUUUCUUAAUCAACAUGAAUGUCCUGAAAUGCUUUUGAAAUUAGUUAGUUGUUGUGAAUAUUCUGAGCUGUGAUUGAACUUAGAUGCUGUUGUGAAUAAUUAUUAAUUUAGUGUAAAUUAUUAAACUGAAAUAUGCCCAGUUAAUUAUUGAACAGCUGUUGAAUAGAUAAUUGAUGAAUUUAGUUUGGAUUGCUGCUGCGAAUGUAAUUGGUUUUGUUGUUAUGAGAGACUAAUUGAUAGAAAUAAGCUUAGUUUGAGAUUGUGAAAUUUGGAUUAUUGACUCAGGUUAAGGCUGUGAAUGUCUUUGGGCUUUGUUGCGAGUGUUUGAAGUUGUAAUUGAUAUUGUUUUCUCUGAUAUGGAUGGAAUUGUUGAAAAGUUCUGACUCUAUGUGAUUAUACUGAAUUAGUUGAGUUGUGUGGCUGAAAUUAUGAUUGGAAAAUGAUUGAGAUUUUUGAUUGGAACUUUGGUUGAAUUUGUUGAUUUUGUGAGAUUGAAUUAUAAAUUGUGUGAUGAGAGAUUAUUGUGAUUUCGGUAUUUUGAUGGGUCAAAUUGAAACUAUUGCUGUUGAGUUGGUUUAUUGUAAUGAGUUAGUUAGUGAUUAAUUGAAGUUGGGCUUAAGGAAUAAUUGGAAGAUUGAAUCUUAAAAUGUUGAACUAGUUGCUGAAAAUAUGAUUUUUGAGAUUAAAAGAUGACUGUGGAAGUGAAUCAGUUAUUCAACGAUAAUCGAAAUGAUAUGAGAGUAAAGGCUGAGUAAACUAUAAUAAAAGUUGUUGUUAGGAUCCAAUUUUGAGAAGUUUGAAUUAAUUUUAGAACUAGUUAUGAUUUUUCAGAGUUAAAAUGUAAAACUUGAUUUUCUGCAUUAUUUUUAAAGGAAGCCGGAAACUUUGAAAAACUAUAACUAUUUCUGUGAUUAUCGGAAUUGCGUGGGACCAAGUCCGGAUUGAGCUUGGGAAUAUAGGGAACUAGACUGCUGAAUUUGAGACUUUUUCGCUAAGUUUAUGAUUUAUGGUAAAUUUUUGAAUCAUGGAUGUCAAAUCUGGUUUUUUCUGCUGAGCAUUUAACACAGCAGCAACUUGUUUCCUCUAUUAGAAAUUCUCCAGUUUGCAUUUUGAAAUGGAACCAAUUUUAUAUGAAACUUUGGCCUUAUUAAUUUAAUUUCAUAAAAAUUUGGAAUUGUUAGAGUUGUGGUUUUAAAGAUUUGGAUUUUCAAAGAAAGAUGUAUUAUGCAGUAAAAGUCAGGUUUUGUUUUCUAAGUCAGUAACUUUGAGGCUUUAUAAUUUUUAAAUCUGGAUUGAUAUUGAGAUGCAACCAAUUGGAGGUGAAAGUUGAGUAUGUUUAGUAUAUAUGAUUCAAAUUUCAGGGUUUUCCAUGUUUUAACAAGUGAGUUAUGGAACUUGGAAGAGGUUGUGUUCAAUGAUUUGUAAAACAGAAUUCUGCAGAAAAUUACCUAACUUCCAAGCUACGUAACUCCUUCAUUAAAAAUGGUAUGACCCUGGAACCAAUUGAGAAAGAAAUUUGGAUGAGUUAUGUUUAACCACAUUAAUUUUGAAGGUAGUUGGAUUUAAUUUGGAUUUUAUAUGAAAUUUCGAAUGUUGUAUGCUGCUGCUGUUUUCUGGUUUUGAAACACUGCAGAGCAGUCACGGUUUUGCUUAUAUUCUUGAAGCUAGAGUCAGCGAAAAAUUAUGAAUUUUGAUUUAAUAGAAAGCUUAAUUCGAGACGGUCGCAUGGAUAUAAAGUUUGCGUGAUUCCGAAUUCAUUUGAUAUUUUAAAAACAAAAUGGAAAUCAGGCUGCCAAGUUGUGUUGGAAUUUAAGAAAUAGAUUUUCUAUACUAUUAUCAAAUGUUGUUGAGAAUAUAUAUUAUUGUGGCAACUGCUGAAAAAGGGCUGUGAUUUGUUGAGAAAAAGGGAACCCGUAAGGGUGGCUAAGCCCGAGUUUUAGGGGAGGUGCUGCCGAAAUUUUGUAAAAUCUGAGGUUUGUACAACAUGAUUGAAUAAAGAAAGAGAGAGAUAUUGUGUAAGAAUAUGUAACUAGAAAUGAAUAAUGAGAAUGAUAACUUAUGAUGAUAGUUACACUGAUUCUUUUGAGGAAAGAUAUUCAGUUUAUGAAAUUAUUGGCAAGGACGUGGGUUUUGUCCCGCUUGCAUAUUUAUGAUUAUAAAAGAGAAUAAGAAGCAGAGCACCUGUUGAAAGGUCAUUUGUUGCUUGAGGCAACCCAUGAGAUGUGUUUAUUCAUUUGUUGCAUUAAGGCAACUCCAGAUAUACUUGUAUGAUCAUCUGCUGCAGUGAGGCAGUCAGAUAGAUAAUGGUAUGAUUACUGAGAACGCUUUCCUACGGUACAGAUCCAUAUUUUAAUUCUGUAAGGCAGAAGGGUUAUUUCCUGCUACAGAAGUACCGUGACCACCUGUUCCAUUUCUGUAGUGGCAGAGGGGUUAUUUCCUGUAUACAGAAGGUGUGUCGGCGUACAUCCCUGCAGUGGCAGAUGUUUUAUUUCCUGCGUGCAGUGGGCCCUGUGGUGGCAGAGGGGUUAUUUCCUGUACACAGGGGUAUAGCCAAUAGGAAAGCCUUAUCCAGACAAAGGUUGCUGGAUAAUGUCGGGAGCGGGUUAAUAACCGACAGAUGAGCUCAUUACCUGCACUAGGGUUAGACAUGCAUCAUCCUUGUGUGUGCAUUUGCAUUUGAUUGGGUUUGCUCGUUGUACUUCCCUGUGAUUUUGCUGUUUGCCUUGCUGUGAUUUGUUUGUGUGUUGAAUUGAAUCUUUUGUUAGUGUUAUUUGUUGGUGAGUGUAUGAUGACGAUUAAGAAUUGACGUUGUGAUUGGAAAUUAAUUAUGUGGUUGAAAAAUGUUUAAAGUGACCAGUUUUAUAUUUUGGAAUUUGUUUCGAGCUUAGGUUUUUGAAAGAGGUAAAUAGUUAGUUAAAGUAAAACCAAGAAUAGUAUUUUCAAAAAGGUUUGACAAAAAUAUAGUUUCCUUGAGUAUAUUAAUUAUUUGCAUUCUAUUUCAUUACUUUUACGGCAUUCCCAUUCCCUACUGAGAACGUGUGGUUUGUUCUCACCCCAAAAUCUUCCACCCUUUCAGUGACACAGGUACGAAGAUUCAGUUUGAAGCUGCGGGCGAUUCUAGAAUUUAUUUACGAGUUAAGUUUAUGACUCGAGUUAUUUUCAUAAAAGUUCCCUCGCUCCUAUUGCUUAACAUUUUUUUUUUAUACAGAGAGAUAGGAUUUGUAUGUGAGUUUUAUUUGAAAUCUUUUGUAUGAUAGAUAUUAUUAUUAAUGAUUAUGUGAUUAUUAUUACUUGGUGAUGCUUGCUAUAUGAUUUUAAUUAUCAAAAACAAAAUUUUCUGGUAUUUUUACUAAAAUAAAAUCGCGAUAUCGAACUAAAGGCUCAAUAGUAAAUAGUUAAUAAAGGAAAGCAGGUUGGUAACACCUUACUUUCGGUACGAUCAUGACGUUCUGGAAGUUGGGUCGUUACACCAACAGCAUCAGCAGCCCUUUUGUCAGCCUUUUUCAGAGUUUUGCUCAAAUCCCUCAAUUUCAGACAGAAUUUACCUGAAAUCACAGAAAAACACACAAACUCAUAAUAAAGUCCAGAAAUGUGAAUUUAACAUAAAAACUAAUGAAAACAUCCUUAAAAGUAGCUUGAACUUACUAAAAACAACCUAAAAACAAUGCCAAAAAGCGUAUAAAUUAUUCGCUCAUCAACAACCUGCCUUGUUCUCAUUACAAUUGGCAGACAAAUCAUUAAGACAAUCUUAUGGAAUAGUGGAGGACGUGUUAGUAAAGGUUGAAGGCUUUUACAUCCCUGCUGAUUUCAUAAUCUUAGACACUAGGAAGGAAGAAGAUGAAUGCAUCAUCCUUGGAAGACCUUUCCUAGCCACAGCAGAAGCUGUGAUAGAUGUUAACAGAGGUGAAUUAGUCCUUCAAUUGAAUGAGGACUACCUUGUGUUUAAGGCACAUGGCCAUCCCUCUGUGACAAAAGAGAGUAAGCAUGAAGAGCUUCUCUCAGUUCAGAGUCAAGAAGAGGCCCCACAGUCAAACUCUAAGUUUGGUGUUGUGAGGCCACAACCAAACUCUAAGUUUGGUGUUAAGAUCCCAUAUCCAAACUCUAAGUUUGGUGUUGGGACUAUACAACAUUGACCUGAUCACCUUUGUGGCUCCAUGAGAGCCACUGUCAAGCUAUUGACAUUA